Molecule: ribosomal RNA, 263 nt
Filed under: uncultured Staphylococcus sp.
Lineage: Bacteria; Bacillati; Bacillota; Bacilli; Caryophanales; Staphylococcaceae
Description: partial 16S ribosomal RNA
Rfam family: Bacterial small subunit ribosomal RNA
Source: RNAcentral
CGGACGGGUGAGUAACACGUGGAUAACCUACCUAUAAGACUGGGAUAACUUCGGUAAACCGGAGCUAAUACCGGAUAAUAUAUUGAACCGCAUGGUUCAAUAGUGAAAGACGGUUUUGCUGUCACUUAUAUAUGGAUCCGCGCCGCAUUAGCUAGUUGGUAAGGUAACGGCUUACCAAGGCAACGAUGCGUAGCCGACCUGAGAGGGUGAUCGGCCACACUGGAACUGAGACACGGUCCAGACUCCUACGGGAGGCAGCAGGC